RNAcentral lists this long non-coding RNA (35312 nucleotides) under Coffea arabica (coffee). RNAcentral's name for it is "long non-coding RNA (CARA_LNC001677)". The record is from RNAcentral. Lineage: Eukaryota; Viridiplantae; Streptophyta; Magnoliopsida; Gentianales; Rubiaceae.
GAGUACGGGGUAUCAGAAACUUGGGUACAAGAAGUCGAGGAAAGGUUUAGAACUUACAGGCAAUGGGACAUCAAGGAAAGAGUGAAGUUCCUUUUGUCAAAAAUAAAGGGAGGAAAUUAUGAAUCAUGGAUUUUCUUGUGUCCAUAGGUAGGGUGCUCAAGAUAUAAAGCUGAUACCUCAUAGAUGAAAUUGGACUAAAUACAAAAAUAGAGCAUUUUGCCUUUACAAAUUCUGCAGUUCGGAUACAAUUACAAACUAUCCCAUAUAUGGAUCCCUGAUUUAUGGUUCAGUGAUGUGUUAACUCGGAUUUUAAGAAGCUCAUCCAUUACAGAUGGCAUGAUCUCGGAAAUGGAACUUUUGAAUGAGAGGAUGCAUAACAAACAUGCACACACACAAAACGAAGUAGACCAUCCAAAUGAAACAUGAUGUCAAAGAGACAAUUAUACCAGGGUCAUCAAAAAAGCAACCAAUUCCAGUAGCAGAGAUCCCAACUGCAUGGGCUUCAAGGUACAAGACCUGGCCAAGGACCCCCGUCUCCCAAAAUAACCGAGGAUACAUCCAUGAACCUUUUUCAUGCAAGGUAGGCUCCAAAUGAGCCACCAUACCCAGACUGAAGCAACCAUCACUGGCAAUGUCCUGUAAUUAGAUAUAAUUAGAUAGUCAUGUUUGAGAAGUCCAUUAAAUAGAUCCUCUGAAUCAGGAUGAUAAGUCGACUCUAUGCAAGUAGCCCCAAAAUUCUAACACAAGCAGUCUAUCUCAACCUUCCUGCUUUACAGAAACAUAAACAACUAAAUUUACAGCCACUGCUUGUGGCGCAGAGUCAAAGUAGCAGUUAUGCCAAAACAUAAUCUCCGUGGGGCAGCUUAUAUUCAAUGUGUCUGGGAAGAAGUCAAAUUGUUAUCUAUUAUAGAAUUCACAAAGCCAUAUAGUCUUAUUGCUAUGACAAUUAAUGCUGAAAACCUUUGUCAAAAUUACUAACUGUGCUGAACAUUUACUGUAACUUUUCUAUGAUAACAUUUUCCAGUGCCAUAAAAAAGAAAAGAUGCAAGGUGAAUGUCCAAAAGGGCAUGUGCCUGAAAAAAAAUAACGUAUUGCAGAUCCACCUAUAGUUUGCACUCCAAUAUUGUCAAACACCUAAUAAAGAAACAUAAAAUGCAACCAAACUCCUCAUCAUCCUCAUGAUUUGCAAAUAGAAACAAGCUCCAAUGUCAAUUAAAAUGUUAGUCAUAAUUAGCGAUAUUCAGUACAGAAGUGUGCAGGGUAUAAAGUGAGGAAAAAUAACUGAACACAUCUUCAUCCUGCAUCAAAGUUUAAAGGAGAACUCUCUUUUUCUCAUGAUUAUUUGAUAAUUAGAAACACGUUUCCCAGCAUGAACCAAAAAGAAGGCCGAAUGCCUAUGCUUACUGAUCUAAGUAGGAACUUGUGAAGCACACUCCAGACUUAGUAAUUCAGAAAUUUGACGCCAGGUGCAUUUAGAAGAUACUCGUCCCUUUGCUCCAAAUUAAGUUUAUGCUUUACUUUUAGUCCAUCUGAAACUAAUUUUCUAUUUACUUUUCGAAACAUAUAUAAAAAACUAGUAUGUGGCACUAGAUGGUUCUCUCCAUGACUCGCAUGUUCCUUACUUUUAUGCUUGGAUAUAAUCUUCUACCUUGCAGAUAAAUUCCCUCCGUAAAACUACGACACUUACAAUUUAGAAAUGGACAUUAAACAACACACAAAUAACAAGUAUCCCACAAUGAAUUGCAGAUAGUAGUCAAGAGCUCAGUAGUAAUGCCAUCAGGAAUGUCGUCAACAUACACACCUGAUGACAGGAUAGGCGUUUUGAUAGCUCCCGACAGUCACCCUUUGCGAGUUCAUACAAAGGAAGCUCAUCCGGACAACCAUCUGGUUUGGUCCACUUAAAUUCAGACCUUGUAGAUUUCCUUAAAUCAUCCAAAUGCUCUUCAUUUCUCACCAAAAAAUACAACCCCUUGGGCAAUCCUACAACUCUAUGAACAAAAAGGGCAGCAUGCACUUCACAAUCCCAUGAAAGCGUCCUAAAUGGCAAUGCUAACUGUUUCCUUUGCUUUCUCCACUCCAAAACCCGAAGGCAUACAAUGCAGCAAAAUCUGAUAAAAAGUCUCUCUUGCCAUUGUGGUAGAACCAUCCAUAUCUACUGCACUCCUCCUCUUUCUAACCAUUUCCCUCAAACUAAAACCUUUAUAAGAACUCUCACUAAUGUCUCCACUGCCCAGAAACGGAGCAACUAUGAAUUGAUUGAAUAUGUUUAAAGGCUUUUUUGUGCCUCGGCGGUCCUAUAAAUAAUAUCCCAACACACAUGCUCUUUACUAAGCAAAUUCGGUUCCCUUUCCACUCCAAUGUUGAAAACUGGGAUAUAGCUAAACUCAACCCCUUAUAGUCAACGCCAAAAUCACUUGUGCCACUAGGAAAAACCAGAAGCACACAAUCAGGAUGCUCAAACUCAAUCUCAGGCAUCUUCCCUUGACCGGCCUGGACGGGAUUUUGAACUCGGGAAAAACAUCAAGUCCCAUUAGUUUCUCUAAUUCAUCAUGGCCCAAACCAUCCAAAACCUUAACUUCCCACCCAAGCCCUGCCGCGGCCAUCGAAACCGCGGCAAUGGCAUGCCCGACGUCAUGAUUACAAUAUCUAAAGGCCCUCUCACCAUACUUCCAAGCUUCCCUCCAGAAAAUAGAGGAAAAUCCAAUAAGAAAACAGUUCUUGGGGAAAUUUUUGGGAAAAACCCAGAUGGAAUUUCGGUUCUAAUUUCCAAACCAUGCUCUUUCGGAGCAUAAUGAGCGACAAAUGAGUGAUCAAUCAGAGAAUCAAUUGUGUGCAAUGAUGUAAGCCUCAGUGGGGUGAAGAUUCCCACUGCUGGGAUUAACCCUGAGGGACCAAGUGGAGAAGCCAGUAGUUUUCCAGGCUGAUAAGGCUAAAGAAUCAUAAAAAGUUGAGAAAUGUGGUUUUGGAAAUGGGUUUUGGGGACGGUAAAGAAUUGAAAACCGUGUGAUACAGAGGAGGAGGAGAGCCGUCCCGGUGGUAGCGGGAGAAUUGGGUGAGGGAGGGUGCAGAAGAGGGAGGAGUGGGGAAGAUACGUAACGGCGAAAAGGGUUGGGUUGGUUGGCCCAGUCAAGGCCAUAAGGCCACGGGCAUAGUUGUUGAAGUUGUGUUUUGUUUGGUUAUGGUACCUCAAGACUUGAUCUUUUUGUUGCUGUUGUUGUUGGUCUAACGAGUGUUGGUGGGUGGAUGGAGAGUGUGAUGAAGCUGCCGUGGACAUGGUGAUUUUGAGGAUUCUUUGGGAUAGUCUUUUGGUGUGGUGGUGGGCGGCGGGAGGAGUGGUGAUGGUGGUGGAGGGACAGAGCUAGUCUAUGGUGAAGCAGAGGCAUCUCGGCCAUCUGCCUCUGUUUUGUUACGGCAGUGCGUAAAAUCGACUAAAAGUGAAAAUUCUUGCUGAAAAGCAGGCGCUUCUGGAAGUUGGAAUUUGGGAGGUGCGGAAGCAAAGAACGUUUUGGAAGGUUCCAAAAUCCCAAGAUCCGGGACCCGUGUUGGAGGUUGCUGCCCGAAACCUUGGAAUGCUUGUGUUAUUGUAUUGGGCUAAUAAGUCCCAAAUGAAACAGACGAGCUUCUAGACAUUUAGCCCAACACUGUAACCGAGAUUCAUUCAUCCUGCCGAUGUUGCUCGGGCUGUUGCAUUGAUUGGCCUGCUAUCUGCGACCCACCUCAAUUCAUUUAGCCAUCAAUCGAGUACCACGUGCAUGACGCAUGCAUGUUUUUUGUUCAGCUGUUUAGAUGUUUAGAUUUUUCCGGUAAGGUUUUGAGUCUUUCUUUAGAAGUAUUACUAUAAAGUUUCUGAAUAGAAAUUUUUUUUUUUUACAAAAAGCCUCUUUUAAAUAAUGUUAUGAUACUUUUUUUUUAAUCUGAUGCACGUGACAUAAAAGAUGGUUAGAAAGAUUAAAAGAGUAUUAAAAAUUUUUUUUUUUUUGAUAAAAGCAAAUUUAUUACAAUAGAUUUUAAAAAUUGUCCAACACAAUUUGAUUUACAUUACUAUCUCAAUGAUAGAUUAAACACACACUAUAAAUUACAUAUCUACUAUAGUUAAAAAGAGGUACAAAUUUAACAGAUGCAAUAGAUCUGAAGAAGAAUAUAGAAAACAUAUUCAUGAUGCAAGUUCAAAUAAUCACGUAUGCCAAUGCUCUGUACUUGUGGUAUUUAUGCAUGUCUCUACUAGUGAUGAACAUGUUAAUUCUUUAAAAUAACAAGUUUAGUGUUAUUAAAAUUUGUCCCAAUAAUAUGUUCACAUAAUUUUAAUAACAAAGAUGGCAACGUGUGCUGAGAUCAGAUUAGGAUAUUUCUAAUUCGUAACUUAUGUUUAAUAUGCAAGCAAAUCAAGCACUAAUAUAUGGAAACUAAGCAAUAGUCAUAGUUUUAUAGGAAGAUAAUCAUUUACGUGCCACAAGUCGUUAUGGGAUGGCUGCGUAAAAAUCUCGAUGAGUACUGGUGCCCAAAUCAAUGCUGCUGCUGCUGCUACACGUUCCAAAUCUGGGAACUGUUCGUUUGUCGAUUUGCUAACUUUCUGCUGUGCCUCCUGAGAGUGAAGAAUGCCUUUUUUUUAAUUAAUUAUAAUUAUGACAAAAUGAAUGAUUGCUAAGCACUGAUUUUUAGCUGAGCUUCCCAGUAUGAGUAAGCUCUCAUUUUUGCUACUUCUGAUAGGCCACAACACAAGGAAGACCCUCACUCUUUAAAGAAAAAAAGGGAAAUCUUUUUUGCAUUGGGUUUGGAGUGGCUAAAGUAAAAAAUGGCAGUGCAAGGGCCGUACAAGACUGCAAACACUUUCAUACCUCGUACAGUUUACGUGUAAACCGUUCUAAUCCGAUUCUUCCACAAAUCCCCAUUCCAUUCCAUGGAGUUACUUUAAAAUAUCCAAUUCAAUAUUCACAAAGUUUGGCUCCAUUUCCGUAACCCAUUCGCUGCGAGUAGCCAAGCAGGCAAGAAAACAGCAGCACCAGUCAUCAAAGCACUGGCACCAAAACCCCACCAAAAUCCAAACACCUGCAUUCUUUUUUCGUCUCUUCUUCUUCUCUUCUUCUUUCUGUAUCAAUACAACUCAAAACUUUGCGACACAAACAACCCUUCAACCAUUGAAAUUCCCAAGGCUCAUCCCUGCAAAUCUCUUUCUCUGUGUCUCUUUUUGGGCUGGUAAGUGUUUGUUCUUUCCAUCUUCCCCGUUUCCCGAGUUCUUGACUUUUUUGUUGCUAUGGUUUUUUGGUCCUGUCUUUAUUCUUUUGAAAAAUCGUGUCUUGAUCAUGUUUAGAAUAGUGAAAGAGAAAAGUUGUUGUUUUCCUUUUUUCAACUUUGCAUGGUUGAUUGUGAAUAUUGGUUGCCAAGACGAGAAAAUUAAAGAAAGCUACAGAAUUACACUCCAGUGCCAUUAAAGAAAAAAAUAUUUUUAUUUGGUUGACACUUGCCAGCGGAAAAGAUGGACGCGAGAUAAAAGCUAGAGAAAUAGUGAAUUGGGCACCUCAAUAUACCUAAAAACGGGAUUUUGCCGUUGUAUCCAAGGACCCCGAAAUUUUUGGUGCAGAAACAGGGGUAAAAGAAUGAAAUUGUGGGCUCUGAUUGUUUGGGCGCAACUUUUGUUUGACGAUAGUUAACUGGACGAUAAUCAAAAGGGAAGCAUUGUUUUGCUUUUUGAUUUUAACUGUUUUUAUGACUAUUUGAAAUUAUUGUCCUACUUCCAUUGCUUCUGCUAACCUCUAUCUAAGGCACUACUCAAAAACUUUAUAGGGAUGGAAUGGAUUACUCAAAAACCUUUUCAAGUUAGCACCCUAAACUACCAUUUUUGCACAAGGGUGUGUUGUUGUGUAUUUAUGCUACACUCAUAAUCUCUGAAUACCUUGUACAUGGUGGUGCUAGGGAUUGUUUUUGGCACUGUAUUCAGUAUCUAACAAUAUGAAGAAUCUUGGGAGGAUGGGAAUUCGUUAUUUGCACAAACUAAAUGCUGCAAAUGUGCCCAAGGACUUGUUAGAGAGGGGGCAGAAUCGUGUUAUGGAGGCAUCUCUUACCUUUAUCCGUGAGAGAGCUAAGCUCAAGGUAUGAUUUGAUCUCUGUCAAAAUUUUCAUCUUCAAGUUUUCCUUUGUUCUAUGAGAAUAAUUUUAAAAUUAAUGUUAGGGAGAACUUUUACGAGCACUAGGAGGAGCUGUAGCAUCAGCAUCCCUUCUUGGAGUUCCUCUAGGGCAUAACUCUUCAUUCCUUCAGGGGCCUGCAUUUGCUCCCCCUCGUAUAAGAGAGGCUAUCUGGUGUGGCAGCACAAACUCCACAACUGAAGAAGGUGAAGCCAUUUUUAUGCUAGUAUUACGUAAACACAUAUGGAUGUUGAGCUUCCAUGUUGUCCAAAGCAAAAUUAUCUGUGAAAUGAUUAGUGUUUGCAUUCAGGCAAUCAUGAAUGCCUCCAUAUAACCGUUGUGCAUAAGGCUUUGAUUAAGAGGGUUAGAAAUGUUUCAUUGUGAUUAAGAGGAUUUUAUGUCUUCAUUUCGGUCUUGCCACUGGUCUCUUUUUAACCUAGUUUAGUAUUUGAUAAGGAUUUUGACUGUUGAUUAUGGGUUCCUUGUCGUAUUUAUGUUUAACCAGUUGCAGAGGAACAUCUAAUAUUCCUUGUUGCACUGACACUAAAAAAAGUCAAUAUCAUUUUCUAGCUGUGCCAUCUACUGGAUCCCCUUGGCUUCAUUUCAUAGAUAAGGACAUCAUCAUAAGCCUCCAUCAAUUCCCCACCCCAAAGGAGGUGGAAAACAAACCCCUUCCCUUGUGAUGCUAGUGGUUUUUAUUACUUUCUGUAGGAUUUGGUCUCUGUUAUUAAUAGUUUUUCGUUGGCUUGUUUGUGGUCCAUUAUUUUGUUGCUGCCUACUGUUCUAUGAGCCUUUGCCAAUCUUUACUUCCUUAUCGAAUCGAGAAAUUACCUUAACACUUUUCUCAAAGCUAGGAGAUAAAUUUCAUCUGAUAGGUAGGAUCAGUUCCCCUAAUAAUGUUGGCUGCUCACUAUGUUUUCUCUCUAAUUAUGAUCAUAAUUUCAUGCAUUGUCAACAAAUUUGGACAAAUAUACACUGCUGAUGCUUUCUACUAGAAAAUAUUUGAAAAAUACAUCUUCUCCCUGUAAGAUGAUCUUGGUCUUAUGCAGGCAAGGAAUUGAAUGAUCCACGAGUAUUAACUGACGUUGGUGAUGUUCCAGUACAAGAGAUCCGAGAUUGUGGUGUAGAUGAUGAUAGAUUAAUGGGUAUCAUAAGUGAGUCAGUCAAGCUAGUAAUGGAAGAAGUAAGCCCCCUUUUGCGUUUUUUUCUAUUACGUAUUACACUGUUUUCUCUGGUAGAAUCAAGCUAAAGAGCUCAUCUGAUGUAGCUAUUUUGGUUAUAAUGUUUCCCAGGUUUUUAACAGUGAAUCUCUCUCUCUCUUCUCUAUCUCUCUGUAGAGGCAUGAAUGCUAGGGCGAGCAUGAUGUUUCUGAGAAGGAAGGAUGUAUUUGAAUUAGCUUAGAGAUGACAAUGCUAGAAACUUUUUCCUGCUUUGCCACUAAUUUUCUUGAAGAUUUGUAGACAGAUGAAUGUACUGUAUGAAAGAAGCUCUCUCUCUCUCUCUCUCUCGUCUUGAUAGGGAAUCUGCAGUAGAGGGACUUAUUUGAUGAGUGACAUGAAACUUUAGAGAUUAUGUUUUCUGAAAAAGAAAUACAAGAUUGGCAUCAAAGAUGAAAGAGUUCCCUCUUUUUAUGUGUUUAUAUUUAUAUAGCUACAGCAUGUGCUUGAACUGUUACCUUUUGACCUAUAUACAUUAAGUAAUUGAAUUUUUUCACUGAUCCCAUAGCUCAAAUGUGAUUCAUCUCCCUCUUGAUGAACAAAUAUAUGGAAAGCAAACCAUUCAUCUGUAGUCAAAGAUUGGCUCUUUAAGAACCUCUACUGUGUUUCAACUUGAUUUCAUUCCCUUCCAGAUGCCUGCUUUUAGUGUCUUAGUCAUCAUUAGGACAGCUUUUCACUUGAUGCCCUUGUAAGAUGCAAUUCUGUGUGCUGAUUAAGAUCCAUGGUCUUCUGUUUAAGAUCCGUAUAUUUUUAAUUGAAAUAGAAUCCUCAUUAUUUUUCUUCUAGCUGUUUUUUCAUUAGUAAAAUUUCCAAGUAGCAUGUGUUGAGUGCAGAUUCUAUAUACAAGUUCUAAUUACAUCUCAUGAUACCCGGAAAAUACUACUCCCUCCGUCCCACUUUGAUAGUCCUGAUUUUUUUUCACACAGUUUAAGAAAAAGUAGUUAACUUUGUUGGAACAAUCAAUUUAGAUAGUUAUUUUCUAAAAUACCCUCACAUUAAUUAGAGUACAACUUUAUGGGAACUUGAAUUGAUGGUAAAAAAAGAAUCAACUCUUAUUAAAUGGGGUAGGUUUAUAGUAAAUAACUUACAUUGAAUAAGGGUAUUUUAGGAAAAUUAAAAUACAAUUACAUUCUUCAAUUAGAAAGUGGACUACAAUUUGGGACAGAUGAAAAAGGAAAAUAGGACUAUCAAAGUGGACGGAGGGAGUAUAGAAAUUGCAUUGUCCUUGAUUCUCCUGAUUCUGAAUGGUUCCAGAUGAUUCUAAUAUUUUCCCCUCUUGAUGACAAUAGUAUGCCUUUUGUUGUCUGCCUAAUUGCAUCUUCCACUGAUUUUCAACUGUUUUAAAUGGAAAUUCUUGUGUAUGCAUUUUGUAAAUGCAGGAUCCAUUGCGCCCUUUGGUAUUGGGUGGGGAUCACUCUAUAUCAUUCCCUGUUGUGAGAGCCGUUUCUGAGAAGCUUGGAGGUCCUGUGGAUAUUCUUCACCUUGAUGCCCAUCCUGAUAUUUAUCAUGCCUUUGAAGGAAACAAAUAUUCUCAUGCGUCUUCUUUUGCACGCAUCAUGGAGGGUGGUUAUGCUCGCCGGCUUUUGCAAGUAAUCCAGCCAUUUGAAUGCAUUGCUAUAUAUUUUAUUGAUAUUCCUCUUUAACUUAGUAUCCAAAUCUACUUUCUGUUUAGCAGUAGUCUUUAGAAUGAUAUUUUUCUUCUAACUUGUUCCUUUAGGUUUAUUAUGUAAGCCAUUUGAAUUACAUGCUUUUUUUUUUGUUUUGAAAAAUCAAACUUCCAAUUUUUUCUCUGGUCAAAGAUAUUUUGGUGAUGAUAUGAGAAAAGCAUUCACUUUUGAUGUAAUUAAUUUUUAGGAACGCAAAUUGAUUUCGCUAGUUCUAAGGUGUUUUUAUCAGCUUUAGACUGUCUAAUAACUUUUCUUAUUUGAUUCCAAAUAUAUUAAAAAAUUGUUAAGCUUCUCUUUCUCAUUAUCUUCUUAGAAAGGUAUUUGAAGGCUCAAUGGCAUUUGUCCUUUUCUGUAUGUUUAGAUUGAGUGGAGCUCUGCUCUCGAGUAAAAAUUGGUGGAAUAGGAGAUAAUCGGACAUUUCAUGUCUGAGAAGUAUAAUGCUAAAGCGCUUGCUUGUUGCACAGGUUGGAAUUAGAUCAAUUACAAAGGAAGGCCGUGAACAAGGAAAAAGAUUUGGUGUGGAGCAAUAUGAGAUGCGAACCUUUUCCAGAGACCGUCACAUAUUGGAGAACUUGGUCUCUCUCUCCUCCCUCUCUCUCUCUCUCUCUCUCUCACAGACACACAAAUUCACGGAGGUUCAUCAUUAGCAACUCUCAAAUUGAAAAGAUUUGAUAUGCAUAGUUUCUGUCAUCUUAUUGUCUAGUCUUGGAGUCCAAGUUUUGCUGACCCAAAACAAAAUCCUAUGUCACAAAGCUGAUUUUCAUUCUUUAGACAUUGUCAAAUGCUUGGGUUCCUUUUCACGAACUGAAAUCUACAUUUCAUCCAAUACUUAUGCAUUGGUCAAGGGGAGCUAUAGUGCAAACAAACAAGUCUACUCAAAGGUGUUCUGGUUCAUACCCAAUUUACCUUAUUCUGAAUGUCUACUCUAUUUGCAGAAACUUGGUGAAGGGGUGAAGGGUGUAUACAUUUCAGUAGACGUGGACUCUCUUGAUCCAGCAUUUGCCCCAGGGGUGUCUCACAUUGAGCCUGGAGGCCUCUCUUUCCGCGAUGUUCUCAACAUACUUCACAAUCUUCAGGGUAAUGUUAUUGCUGCAGACGUGGUGGAAUUCAACCCCAGCGUGAUACUGUUGAUGGGAUGACAGCAAUGGUUGCUGCUAAGCUUGUAAGAGAACUCACUGCAAAGAUGUCAAAGUGAUGAACAGAUGUUGCCAAUAAAGAGCUACACUGAAGCCCAAAAGCUUCAUAAGGGAAGCAGCACACCAAGCAUUUUUCACUCCCUAGUGUUGUAUGAAGAGCAGCUAGCUCGAAAAGGAAUUCAACUGUCACAGUUUCCUGUUCAUUUACUAUUUGGUUGCCAUGUUAAAAUUCAUACAUGCAUUAUAAUCUCCUUCAUUAUUGUGGAGAACAAAAAUAAGAAUGAAUAAUGUCUUCAGUCCAAAUUCUUCUUGUUGAGUUAUUUCUUUCGUUUAAUCCAAAGAGAUCUUCUGCCUUUUCUUUAUUACUUUAACAUGGUGUUUUAUUUGUUAGACGCUACGCUAUGGUUGUGUCUCAUAUUUCCUCUUGCAGAUUUAUUUACUCCCAAUGCUGUGCCAGAAGCGUUAUAGAAGGCGAGGAGGCUUUCCAGAUCUGAGCCUCCAUCUGGCUGGGUGGCUGUUUAUACCAUUCUUGUCUGCACAAGAUACUGCUGCAAUUACCAUAAUUGGUUGCUGAACCAGCUUGUAAACGGGGUCAUAUGAGCUGUACUUUCUGGUGUCAUCAUCACAGAGAGUUCCAAUAAACUACACAUACAAUACAUACAUACAUACAUAUAUAUAUAUAUAUAUAUAUAGGAUCUACUGAGAAAAAUACAAAGAGAAUACUAUAUUUCGUCAUGAAGUUGUCAUAUUUGCGUUUUACAUCACUUCUACAAUCCACGUCUACUGAUCUUGCUACAAAAAUGCUCAUUCAAGUACUUGUGAUCCAGAUAGAGAUAGACAUGAGAAGCAAUUUGAUUAGUUCAAGGUAUGGCACCUGCUUCUGCUCCCCCCUCUCGCUUCUCUAAUGUUAUGCACUUGUACCUCUUAGCCACCACGACAAACAUUGCCAGAUCAAGUGCAAUGAGAGCUGCUGAAAGGAAGAAAAAUCCUGUCCAAAUGGCCAUCAUUUAAAUUUGCAGGAACCCAUCCUGGCUUCCCAUGCCUCGAUGUGAUAUUCAUCACCACUGUCAGCGCUAUGCUGCAUAAGUAACUACCUAACGCAGAAGAAGACAUCGAUAAACCAAGCCCCAAGCUCUUCAAUCUAUCUGGUGUUUGUGAAGCGAAGAACUCCCACUGGGCAACAAUUACAAAUGCUUCGGCUACUCCUACUAAUACAUACUGAGGAGUCUGCCAGAAAAUACUCAGGGAACUAGUUUCUUGACCUUUUUGGAUUGCAUGUCUUAGUCUGUGCAGCUCGACAAAGCCUGCAAUUAUCAUGGCUACAAUCGAAAUCACCAGUCCAAUUCCUAUUCUUUGUAAUUCACUUAGAGUCUUUGGCUUCCUUUUAGUCAGUUUCACAUAAAAAGGAACAAUAAACUUCUCAUAGCAAAUGAUGAAUGUAGAUGUGCUUAUAAUGUCAAAGGCAGUCAUGCUGGCUGGAGGAUGUGAAAUCCCAAGAUUACUGAUUCCAUUGCAGCUCCUUGCUCAACAAAGAGAGAAAGAACUUGUACAAAGACUAUGGAGGCAACAAUGGUGCAAAACCAUAUUGGCAAUAGCCUCAGCACACAUUUUACUUCUUCAACUUGAGAAACAGUGCAGAGACGCCACGGAUUUGGAGCUUGGCUUUUGCCAGGUAAUAUGGUUAUCACGUCUGGUGCUGUCACAAAAGCUGCCCGAUCAAGAAACCUGAAAAUGGAUUUAUUAUUCUCUUUUUGAUGAAACUGUCAGAUUGGAUAAACUCAAGUUUUUAAUUCGAUGAGUGCAUAUACGAGUUUUUCAUAUCAUACAAUCUUAAAUGACAUAAAUGCAAGUUAGUCUAGAAAGUAAAAGUGCAUAGCAAUUUUCAGAAGUACAGAUGAGGCCAUUGUUUUGUACACUGAUGAUAUUUGAUAGGCAUAUGACUUGAAGAAACUUACUUGAAAUCAUCUGUAUGUACUAUAUUUCUGGUACUGUCUUUUUCAUCUUUCUCCUGAAGUUCAUGGAGCCCCUUCCCAUUUGAGGGAACUUCGAGUUUCAUUUUUCUUGUAGAAGCCACAAAUACCUGAAAGAACCUUGAAACGGGAUUGCCAGCAGGCUUAAAGUGCCUAUAUCUAGAAUUCCCACAUAACAGCAAAAUCAAAGCAAAAAAACCAGAUGUUGAAAUCCAAAAGGCCAGCUCCCACAUCCCAGAUUUUCUAUAUAAACCAAGACUGUUUCAGCAAUCAACGAUCCAAGAUUCAAAGCGACAUAGUAAUAGCCAAAAAAUGCAGUUUUUGAUCGCUUUUCUUCUGUAUCCUCCUCAUCAAAUUGGUCUGCACCGAAUGUACCAAGUGCUGGUUCCAUUCCACCACUACCAAGAGCUACUAAGUAGAUUGAUAUAUAGAAUAUUGCAGUUUCAAGUGGUGACUUAAUAUCGCAGUGUUCUCCUAUUCUCCCACAUCCUUUUGGUUCAAUCAUAAAUAUGCGCGUUGAAAGAGUUAAUAUAAUCAAACCCUGCAACAACAAUGAAGUUUACCAAUCACAGGGAGAAGCAAUCCAAAAUGUACAGAAAAGAGGAAAUACCUAAAGAACUAGUGAAAAUUUCUGGCAUGUUCACUUACAAGCACCAUUAUGGUCUGGAAAACAACACAAGUGACAUAUCUGCCCAUAUAGGAGUCACUGAGAAAUGCACCUAUAAGAGCACAAAUGUUGAGGGUUCCCAUCCACCGACUGAACGUAUUGGCUGCAUCUGCAUUUGAUUGCCUGAGGACUGACUUUGCAAAAAGAACCAUGUUUACUUCCACCCCAGUAAAUGCAACUGCAGCAAGUCCUUCAUUGACUAGACAAGCCAUGAGCAGGAAAACGUGUCAUUUACAUUAAAAUGAUGUUUUAACAACACAUAUAUAUUGCGGAAUGUCUUUAGCCAAUUAAUCGUAAACUUACCAAUCAGGCUUCUCAUUGGUACUUUAAUUUAGAUAAGCGGGUACUAAGGCUACCAAGAUUGCGAGUGUAGUAAACAAGAAAACGUAAAAAGUACCUAGCAAAAGCAUCCCUGAUCUCCAUCCACCAGUUUUUUCCUUAAUCGCUGGUUUCCCAUGCCUGUCAAAAGAUCCAUCUUUUGUGCAAGUAUUUGGAAGUCUAUUUCUUGCAUCCUGCAUUAUAGGAGAUCAAGCUCAUCCCACCUAACACCAAUUUUGUUUAAAAGUAUAGAACGUACGUUUUUCUUGCAGUUUUCAAAAUUUUAAAGAUGUUAUACUAGAACAUCUAUUUUCAAAGAAAAGUGCAGUUCUUGAAAUUUUCCAAGAACCAUACAAUAAUGGUAAGAUAGUAAUUCCAAUUCCAGUGGCCAAAUGAUAUGAAACAUACUUUCACCAGUACAAAUAUAUAAUACACAGUUGAACUAAUCCUCCAAAUAAAGCCCUGAGCUUAAAAGGACUUUACUCCUAAAUCCUAAUAUCUAGGAAGCCACUUUCAUUACUACUUGAAAUUAACAAUAUCUAGAAACAGGUACCUAAAUUUCAGUUUAUGAUUACGUCCCUUCAGCAAUCGAGAGUCUUCAAGAACUCUUUUGAUGGUCCAAAGACAGAAUCAUUUUUUUCUUUUCUAAAAAGUUCUAAAAUUUGUUAAACAAUUUACCCUUUAUGAUAUGGCUUUCACUCUAAUGUUAUAAAAGACACCUCGCAAUUAUAAUAGCUUGUACAUGCCGUAUCAUUCUUUUGAAAGGUAAUCUUUGGGAAGAGAUUUGUUUGAUUGUACAGGGGCCCAAAGUAUAACAUGGAUGUAAAGAGCUUAUGAACUAUUCUUUUAAAUUCACUACAAACAAUAUCAAAAUUGAAGUGGAAUCUGAGAGUCUUGAGUAAAACCAUAUAGUUGCAAUGUAUAAGACUGGAUGGCUUUACUGAAGUUAAAUAGCUCAAACUCGAAGGCAAUUACAGCACAUUUUAUGAAGUAGAAAGGUAUGAAUUCACAUGAUGAUUAUUUUGAGAACUUUACAGUCCAGCAAAAUUACACAUAUCAAUGGCUUGAAAAUGCUAGUUCCAAAAUGUACACGAGUUUUACCAAAUUCGGUCUCAGAAAUCUUGUCCAAAGCUGGUGAGUGAAAUGGCAAAUUAAGUAUCUUAUCAAAGUAGAAUACAGAAACUGAACAGCCUACGAUUUCAAUGGGACACAACUUACUAUUUCCACUAACCCCACCAAUAAGAAGAAAAUUUAGAUAAGGUUAAGUAUCAUAUUCCAUUAAUCACACACGAAAGAGAAAAAGUGACAUUAAAUACUUUUUCUUUUUUGACUGUCAAAAUGGGACAUUAUUGCAUAUGAUAUUUUUUUAGGAUAGACACAAAUUAUGGAUUUUCACUAACACGACAACAUAAUUAGAAGUCGCUCGCUUUGUUCCUCUGCUGUGAACUUUGGAACAAUGGUGAUACAGACAUCAGCAAAUGCCUAAAUGAUGAACUCGUGCCAGGAAGACCACGAUUAUUGUAGAAAAAAAAAUUACCCCAAAAGACUCUUUUUUCACCCCAAAAAACUUUCUUCACUAUGCCACUAAAAAAAAUUUCCUGUAAGGGAUCACAUGCGUGGCUGCCUUUACUGUUUUUGUUUUUUGUUUUUGUUUUGUGUUGUUUAGUAUCACAUCACAUGCAAUGCAUCCCUUCUCUUUUUUACUUUUGUUUGUAUUCUUUCCUUUUUUCUUCAUGAAUAUCAUUAGCUUCCCCACGUUUCUAUAUUUGCUUCGUCUAUCUAAAAGGGCUGGCUUGAACUUUGAGACUCGUUCUGUGAAUUCAACGUCUUGAUUUUCGUACUGAAACUUAAUGACGAAGUUUGCCACCUUUAGUAUGGUCGAGGAAACUCAUUUGUUAGAUGGAAAAGAAUUAAAGGCGCCACAUUAACCUGUAGAAGAUGAAUACAGUACAACUAAAAUUAACCAAAUUAGAAGGAAAAAAAAUGCUGUAAGGUAGAUUUUCAUGAGUUUUCUGAUAAGAUUUCUGUGCAUGCAGCGGGAGACAAUAAUUAGAAGCAUGAUAUCUAUGGUACGUAGUCUAAUUUCUAAAAUUUCUAAUCCAAUUAAUAUAGGUAAAGAAAGAAGAAAAUCUGACGUAUUAUACAAAAGAAGUGUACAUUUUGGACUCGUUGCUGGUGAUUGACAUGUUAAAAUUCUCAUACAUUUUAUGUUGUUGAGUCGUCUCCAUGUUUUAUCUUACUGAUGAGAAGGGGGAGCAGAAGCGAGAAAGUGGGCGAGAGAGAAUUUAUAGAAGGAGGCAAGAAGAUAAUCGGACAUGGGAAUUGGUAAAUACCAACUUGGUAUCUAGUGGUUUAACUACGUGGUUGCCAUGCAAUUGCAAUGCAAAGCCGCCGGUGAUAUAUGCCGGGAUAUGUUCCCUUCUUCCUCAACUUAACUUGAUGACUAAUUAAUACUACAUGACUCUUUGGAGAAACAGUGAAUCAAAAACGGUGUUCUAGAUUUCAGCGUGACUUAUUCGCGUGUAUUGUGUAAUGAAACUUCAUUCUUUCUUCCUGUUUUUCUAUUGUACUUGGUUUCAGUAUAUAUCCACCGCUACAGCCUGGGGGAUGUACGGCCUACAUCUGCUCUAUUUUUGUUUCUUUUUGAAGACUUUAGCAUCUUUUUUUUUUCCCCCUUUUGGGUUGUUAGAUCAAGAGGUUCUGGUUAUCAACUGUUUGAUUGUCGGAAGCUAUGAAGAUUUUCAAAUGAAAGUGGGAAUUGAUUGCAUUACGAGAAAUGUUGCUGUUGUUUCUAUAAAGGAACGUUGCUAGCUAAUGAUACUUGUCUAUUUAGAAGAUUUUGGACCACAGCAGAUUGUUCAGCUAAGUCAACUGACUUUUAACUAAUGCAAAGUGGACCAUUUAUUGGUAAGGAUGUGAUACUUUCUCACAAAAUCGUAUGUUUAACUACAUAUCAAUAUGAAGUGUUGGUAGGCAUUAUUGUAUUAAUCUUUAUAAGUGACUUGUGAUUUUGGAAACAUGCUCUAAUCUGUAGUGGUGAUUGGAGUCGAACCUAUUGAAUUUUUAAAAAAAAAACUAUCAAAAAUUAAUGGAGAUGCAUGCAAAUAAUACUACUGUCAAAUGAUAUGAAGUUCUUAUUUGACAAAAAGGAAAGAAAAAGGACAUAUAUAUGAAGUUCUUAUGAGUAAUAUUUGUAAUGGGUGCAGGCAAUGAUGGAGCCAAGGCCCCCUAAGUUUUGAAAAUUUUAAUUCAUAAUAUGUAAAUAUGUGUGCAAAAUAAAAUUGACCCCCCCUAAAUUUUUAUAAUUUUAGUUUAUAUUAUGAGAGUUGAUAUAUAUAUAUAUAUAUGUAUAUAUAUAUGAAUUAGUCAUCUUUGAAUUAAUUUUUUUCUUCAAAAAAAGUUAUUUAUUUUUUAUUGUACUAAUUAUUUAACUUUCAAAAAUAAACAUAUAAUUUGAUGUUCCAUAGUGAAUUGACCCAAUGUGAUGUAUUAGAAUAAAAAGAUCCAAUUCAUAAUUGUUAAUGGACUAAAAAGACCCAAUUUAUAAUUGUUAAAAGCAAGAACUAGUACAUCUAAGAAUAGAACUUCAACAUUUUGAGCUCGACAUUCCAAAUCAUCCUGAAUUGCAAGAAUUAUUUGGUAUUCAUGAGUUAUGUCAAGGCUUGGUGAAGACAAGAAAAUCAGUGAUAUAUUCUCUUAUUGACAAAUUGAUUAGACGUGUUCUUACUCUUCCUGUAUUAACUGCAACUACAGAGAGCGGGCAUUUUCAAUUAUGAAAAUAAUCAAGAUAAAACUCCGAAACAAGAUGGAAGAUAAUUUCUUGAAUGAUUGUCUAACUGUGUAUAUAGAAAAUGAAAUUGCUGAAAAAUUUAGCAGUGAUUCAAUCAUAGAUGAAUUUAGUUCUAUGAAAGAGCGUAGAGCUCAAUUUACUUCUAAGAAAAGAUGUUGAAAUUUCAAAUUAUGUUAACAUAACUUUUAUCUUUUUUCAAUUGAAAAUAGUUACAUUUAUAUUACAUGGUUAAUAUAUAUAUAUUAUAUUGCAUAGGUGACAUAUUGGAGAGCAUCUUCUCAUAAUGUGUAAAUUGGAUGGUUUGUGAUGUUAUAAGAUAUUUAAUAAAAAAUUAUCUUUUUUGUUAAUUUUUGUUAUGAGUAUACUGCAUAUUUAUGAAUAGACAUACCUUUAUAAUUAAAUUUAAUAUUUGAUAUUUUUAGAUGUCAUAUAUUUAAAUAGAAAAAAAAAUUUUGAAUAUAAUAUAUUAAGAUAAUUUUAUUAGGAAAAAAUUUUGGCCCCCCCCCAAAAAAAAUCCUGGCUCCGUCACUUGCAGGCAUAAGUUUCCUUGGAUAUUGACUCUGUUGGAUCUAUACAUCUCAAUCUUGCGCAGUUGGUUUGAAGGGGAACUAGGGGAUUUUAACAAGGGUUAAUCGCACUUUAUCCCUUUUAAAUAUAGGUCAUUUCUCACUUUACCCCUCAAUGUUUGUUUUUCAUCAGUUUACCCCCUCCGUCAGCAAUUGCACCGUUAAAAAUUUCAAGAUUUCGAAAUUGCUAUACAAAAAGGGCCGUUGGUUUUGGCUGACAAAAAUGCCCCUCAAUGGUGUCUGAUGCUUUUAGCCUACUUUUUCCCUCAAAGAGCCAUUGGUUGGUUUUAGCCGUUAGUUGGGUUCUAUAAAAAGCGUAUUUUGCAGCCAAUUUUGUCAUACAUUUUAGCAUAUUCCAAAGUUCCUAAAAUUUCUCUUCAAAGUUCCUAAAAUUUCUCUUUGUCAACCAAAAAAUAAAAUAUCACAAAGUGCUUCAAAUAAUGUUGAAAGAUCAUCCCAAAAAAGUGUGGAUGUGGUAAAGAGGCACCAUUGUGCACCUCUAUACAAAAUUCGGGAAAAAGAUUUUACGGCUGCUCAAAUUACAAUGCAAAACUUUUUCAUUAAUAAUUUGUUAACAUUGUCUUUAAUUUUGCUCUAUACCUGAAUAAGUUAGAAAGAGUUUAAACAACUAAUUUGUUUUUUAUUUAGAACGCGACACGCAUGUGGGCACUUUUCAUGAGUAGAUCCUGAAGUUUGUAGCAAAACAAUAAGUAGUGCUGCAAUCUAGACUAGUGGAGCAAAAGGAGAAACUAAUGUACUUGCAAAGGGAGCAUGAAAAAUUGAAAAGCAGAUAUGAAGCCUUAGAAACAGAAGUUUAUGUCUUACGAGUUGAAAACCAACAGUUACAGCAACAAUACAUGAUGGUCAAAGCUUUUCGAUCUUCAUCAUGGAGAAAAACACUAGCCAUUACAUUUCUGAUUGCUAGCAUUAUGUAUAUGUACUCUAUUUCAGAACCAAAAGGUAACAAAAAUCUGUUUUAUCUACCAUAAUUGUAAGCAAUAUAUAUGAAAGAAAAUUAUAUUAAGUUAAAAGCAUUUUGCACAUCAGAUUACAUCUUAGCAUGUGUCUGCAUGGCCACCCAAACAAAGGCCAUUUAGUAGAACCUAACCAAAACAUGAUUGUAAAACAUGUCCAAAUAAUGGCAAAAGAAAAACAACAUCAGCAUUUCUAACAUUGUUGCAAAACAAGCAAUCAAGUACUAGUAAUGACAAAAAUAGCAACAACAACACUAUUUCACAUCAAAAACAUUCAGGUGUGAGCAUAACUGUUGAACGUCCAUUUGCAGUUGAAAAUCCUUGGUAGAGAACACAGCUUCUCCAAAUCUAGUACUCUUGUUUGAACGUACAGUCAUGAAUGAGAGGUAUCUUAGUGCAUCAAACUACUAUUAGGGGUGGUAGCAUGUAAACAUAGUCAAAAGACUUGAACUCACCAUUCCAGUUUUAGCAGCACCUGAAUUGCUUUUAGAACUUCCAGUUUUAGCGUCACCCAACUUGGUUCUUGGACUUUUAGUUGUUACUGUAGUGGUUGCUUUUGAACUUGUACAUGGUACGCUGGUGGUAGCAACAUCAAUAGUUGUACUCAAAUUGGCAUCAGAUGUAGGUGUUCUUGUCCAUUGUAUCAUCAAUAGGAAACAAUAAGUGAGCACGUAUAAAAUGGCCAUGCAUGCAGAGUUUUAAAAUGUAGGUUUACCAGUUGGUUGGAGGGGCUGGCCAGUCUUUGAAGUACUUGGAAUCUGCAUAAUAAAGGUAGUUUUUAAUUAGUGCAAGUGUCUAAAAUUAAAUUAGUUACAUACAAAUAAAAAAGGAACUCACCAUGUUAAACUCAAAUGGGAUAUAUGUUUACUUGUUGAUAUCCCUUGGUCAUUCCAAAGUCCAAUGCCAUAGUGGGCCAUUAUUAUGGUUUGAACCCCUACUCUUACUCCCCUGUACCUCUACCUCUCAUUUUAGCUCUAGUUGGGCCUCUUGCAGUAGUGGAUUUAGUCACAUCAGCAUCCUACAACAUCAGCAUCAACAUUUCUUUCAACAUCAGUAUCAGCAUUUCUAGAGUGGCUCCUACGAGCUCCCCUCCCUCGUUUAGUAGGCCUUGUACUUGCAACGCAUUAAAAAAUGACAGUCAGGUGUAGAUAGAAAAAAGCCAAGCAGCAUAUAUUGAUUGAAGUUACCUGUGGCAUUCACUUGUUUUCUUUGCCUCACAAAUGAACAACCAAUGACCUUGCAACUUCUGGCAUUGUGGUCAGUAUGACCACAAUGACUACAAUAAAUUGGCAGCCCUACUUUAGACAGUUUUUCAACAUGUAAGUUCUCCAAUGGAGCAUUUCUUAACUUUCUCAGGCCUGCCUGGGGCUAUCUUCCUAUGAGGUGGGAGUAAUGUGUCAUUGCUAGCAUUCACCCAAUUUGAUUGGUCUGGCAUAGGCAUAAUAACACCAGCAUAUGCUUUUUUAUAUGUUUCCACUGAGUAGCAAUUAUCAACAUAUGCAUAUGGGCUUUUGUUGUCUUGCACAAGUCCAGCACAUGCAUGGACACAUGAAAUUCCUGUCAUAUCCCACUCAUUACAUGUGCAAGACUUUGAACUGCAUUAACAGCAAAAGUUCCUACUAUACCAGUCACCUCAUACACCUCUCUUGUAGACACAAGUGCAUCAAACUGAGCUACCUGUUUUUUCCUCUCUUCAAUUUUCUGACAAAUUCUCGGACAAAUAUGAGACUUCACCUUCUGAAUCCAGUCUCUUUUUUCUUGAAAUCUGCACAUUAUCUGCUUUCGAAUGGCUUCAAACAUAGUCAAAAUGGGCUCCUCCCUAGCAUCCUUAAUGUAUUGAUUGAAGCUCUCACAUAUAUUAUUACUUAAAAGGUCAUAUUUUGUCCUUGGAGAAAAAGGUGUGUCUGGCCAUAGUUAGCUGGUAUGGAACUAAGCCAUGCAUGUGCUUCUGGGGCUACUAAUUGCAACUCUCUCAUUUUGCUUUCAUAGUGACAGGGUAAAUAAGCCCUGGCUGCCCCCCACAUUAAAUCUCUUAGGUACUUAUCCUUGAAUUUCAGUUUGAAGUUAGCAUACAUGUGUCUAACACAGAAUCGAUGCUCCACUCCAAAUACUUAUUCUCAAUGCAAUCAAUUAAUCCCUGACAUAAAACAUAAAUCACAAAAUUAGUGAAAGGAGUGAGUGAGGAAUAAAGGAAAGUAAAUCAGAUUGUAGUGGUGCUGACCUUUUGUCUAUCUGAUAGAAAUACCCAACCCUUUCAAUUGGAGUCCCAAUGGCAUCAGUAAGGCUGUCCAAAAACCACCCCAACUAUUUUGCACUCAGACUCAACAAGAGCCAUAGCAAUUGGGAACAUCUGGUUAUUAGCAUCCCUACCAAUUGCAGACAUAAGCUGCCCUCCCAUGAUCCCUUAAGGUGACAUGCAUCCAGUCCUAUUACAGGCCUACAUGCAUUUACAAAACCUUCCUUUUGUGCAGUAAACAUCACAAACAUUCUCUUGAAGAUUGGACUUUUACAAAGUUGGGAUUUUUAGUUAGAAUAAAUGCCACUGAACCUGGAUUUCUUUGUAAAAGUGUAGCACAAUAGUCUCUUAAUCUUGCAUACUGCUUUGCACACGACCCUUUCACUGCUUCCUUGCUUUCUCUCUUCUCUAUACAUUUGAGAGUUUGUACAGUUCAGGUUAUACUUCCUUUUUAUACUUUUUGAACCCUUUUACUUUCAUAUCCGGAUGGUCAGCAAUCUCCUCCAUAAACAUCCUAGACAGCCACCUAGAAUUUGCACUCUUGUUCUUGAAAGACCAUGGACAUCUAUGAGGUACGCCUUUAAUGGACUUCACUUGAAGUGUAACUUUGCUUCCAUUAUAGCCACUAGCAUAUAUUCUCCAUCCACAUUUAUUUGCACAUAUAACCACAGUUUUAUCUUUGUCAUUCUUAGUGAAGGUAACUUCAAACCAUUCAAAAUUGAAUACAUUCUAACUGCAACUCUAAAAUCAUAAAUGUUGGUGAAAAUUCUGCCUACAGUCAACUCAGGAUUUUUUAGAUCCCUUUCCAUGUUAAACUCAGAAAUUCAUGCUCAUGCCUUCAUCUUUUGAAUCAUAAACUGGUUUAAGUAUUUCAUCAUCACUAACAUCUUCAUCAUCGACCAGUUUUCCAUUCCCUUUGGAGUUAAGGUAUGCAUUAUAUUCUUCACUAAUCAGUUCACAUACUUAGCAUAAUCAGGCUGUUUUAGGUGACAAUCUACUUCACCACCAUCCCUCUCUACAUCAUCUAUAGGGUCACAUGCAUAAUUUAAAUCAUCCAUCUAGGAAAAAAUCAAAGUCAGAGUCAUAUUCAACUUCCCUACAACCAUCCCUAUCACCUUCCUGUGAAGCAUCUGAAGCAUCACUUUCGGCCUCAUCAUUUUGGGGUUGUUCAGCAUUAGAUUUAGAUUUUGUUCACCAUUAACCUCAAUAUUAUCCUCUACAACAGUUCCAUCAGCAUGCAAAUCUUCUUCAGGGAUCUCACCAACAUAAAGUUGUAUGAUGCUUUGAGUUCUAUUUGCUCAAACAUUUCUAGAAUUAUCUGGUCACUGUUUAACAGUUUAAGACCAACCUGAAGGUCAAGAUUCCUAACCCUAUAGUACACCUCUGUUUCAUGUGAAAUUCCAGCUUCUUUAAAAGCAUCUCUUAACUCAAAAAUUGACAUCAAAUCAGGGUCAACAUCAUCAAAAUUAGCAACUUCUCCCCCCACAUACUGUAAAUUUGGGACAUGGGCAAAAUGGCCUCCGUAGUGAACCUCUAAAACAUAGGUUUUAAAAUCCAUUCUUCUGUAAUCACACAAAGGCAACUUUUUUAGUGCAUGCACAGGUAAUACAGAGCAGGCAUCUUUUAUUGUCCCACAAAAAUAAAAAAUCCUAGUUUGUCUAUGUAACAGCCGACAUAUAACCAUCCAAAGUAAACAAAGAAUCCAGCAAAUUAAUAAUUAAAAAGACAAAAGUUGCUAAAAAUCCAUCGUUUUCAUCCUAACCCGAUAAUGACUUGUUAUGAACUUCAAGGGAUCACACCAACAGAUUUCAAACAAAUAAUUGUCUACACAUUAAAGCCCAUGCAGCCAUUAAAAAAACCCAUACCGUUGUUUCUGUGCAAUACAAUUGAUUAAAAUUAGAAAUUUCUAAAAUCGAGAAAAAAUUGUAAAAUCUAACCUUAAGGGCGCCCAAGCUCUCAGAAUCUCCUUUCACAAUCUUCAAAUUCAAUUCUGCCGUCUGCUAACAACUUCAUCGAUUGCCCGUUUUUUAUUCAAGAUGCUGGUGAAUUUUCAAGUUUUUUAAUGGAGGUUUUGCUGAGGCUUCGGGCACAAGUGAAGAGAAAGUGACCGACAAUGGCAAAAAGGAAGAGAAAGUGACCCACAAUAACAAAAAGGAACCUUUUGUCUGUUCUUGUCUUCCUAAUUUCUUUUUCUUUUUCUUCCCGUGCCAGAAGGAGGGAAAUUUCCCUCCAUUAUUCCAGGUAAUUUUGGAAACUUGCAUUUCAUAAACCAACAUAUAUGGGCAUUUUGGGUUGUGCAAUAUUUUCAUAAGGAUAUUAUUGUCUUUUCAAUAUUCUGUUUAUGUCCAUUAGAGUUGACCGUUAGUUUUUGGGUAGACUGAUGAAAAACAAAUGUUGGGGGGUAAAGUGAGAAAUGACCUAUACUUAAAAGGGGAUAAAGUGCGAUUAACCCUUUUAACAAUAACUCGAUAAUAUCAACCAUUGCAAUAGCACUUUAAUUUGGUUUUUCAGCCUUUACUUAUUGAUCAAUCAAAAAAGGCUUGGCUACGUAAUCGACCACUUCUCUUUUAUACCAUUCCACCGAAAACCUUUGUAAAAGAUCCACACAACUUCGAAUGCUUCAUUAACCUCAUUUCUUGACAAAAACUCCUUUGAGUUUGCAUAUUGUUCUAGUGCUUUUGAAAGUCAUUUUGUUAUCCUUUCUUCAUUUUUUUAUUUUUAACAAUUAGCGAUCUUCUCUCAAUCCCCUAAAAAUAGAGAGCAAAUCACAAAUUACGUCAUUGCAAUUUCCAAGCAAAUAUUUCUAAUUUAUCUAAGGAAAGAUCUCAACACCUAAUAGCACUCAAAUCACUAUAUUUUUCCAAUGUAUCGUGAAAACAAAAUUAAAUACAUAUCAUUUUUAUUAAAAAAAAAGAGCUUUAGUUUUUCCAAACUUUUAAUUUUUGAUAGUCAAGAACCAAAAUCGAGCAAUACAACCUAAGUUUGAAAUGGUUUAGUUAGUUUAAAACAAUAAACCAUAUCUAAUUAACUGACACAAUUUGAUUGUAUUAAAAUUGUUUUUGUUUGAUUUUUCAGUCAAUUUUUUGAUGAAUUGUCAACAGUAAUAAGACACUGAUAGUAAAAUUGAACGAAAAUUGCACAUAUUUUAGUCAAAUUCAACGUAUUUUGGUAUUGUUAGUAUUCCUCUUUGUCCCAAAAAAGUCUAAAUAAUACUUUUUUUUCUGUGACACAGUAGUUUUAGUUGAGCAAAAAUGUGAACUUGGCUAGAAUUUUUGUUUUUUCAAAAGAAAAAUUCUCUAGUAAUGAAAGGUAACAAUAAAAAAAAGUAAGAAAAAAGUGAAAGGAAAAGGACAAUGACCAAAAAAAAAAAAGAACAGACAGGAAAUUAAACAAUAUUGAAAUGCCGUUAGUGUCUCAUUUUAAAAUUGCCAUAGCUCUUUGUCAAAGGAGGUUUAAUCGUGAAAUUCGCAUUAUUUGCUUCUAAAACCAAUGAACCCGGAAAUUUGCAAUUCCGCCCAGAUGUAAAUCUAAGUCCUACUUGGGGUCACCGGCACACCAAGGAAGAUCAGAUCACUCACCUCACCCUACCUGGGCGGGACUUGGAGAUGACGGGGUUGGUACCGACCCUAUCUUCAAGAAUUUCUUGGCGCCUAAACCUACUUCACAAAACCACUCAAUACGUAACAAUUAGAGCCUUCAAAGCUUUGAGAAUUCCAAGCAGACCUGUAUUGCCACCUCUCUCCUCUGCUUUUCCACUCAAUUCUAGUCCACCCCGUUUAGUUUCCUCGUAUUCCAAUAAAUCAGCAGCAGUCCAAAUGCAAAACCCAUUAUCCUCAGAUGAUAAUUUAGUCAUUUUGGGCAUUGAAACCAGCUGUGACGAUACUGCGGCUGCUGUUGUAGGUUAUGAUAUCUUUUCGCUCUUUUGUAUGGUGCAACAUUUUUUGAAGGGGGUUCUGUAUGUUUACAGAAUAAAUAACAUGUUUUUUGUUUAUUGGGAUUUUCAGGUUCGAAGCAGUGGUGAGAUUCUGAGCCAAGUUGUGUCUUCUCAGGUAUUGUCUUAUAGGUUUGUGUAAGUAAAAGUAAUAGGCUUUUGCUUAUGUGCAUUAGUUCAAUUGACGCGCUUGUGAUUGAGAAUUAUUGAGAAGCAUGAAAGAUUCUGCUGGCUCUUGCUACUUUCAUAAUAUAAAAAAUGUGAUCUUGUUUAGCGGGAAUAAAACUUUGAUGGUAGCUGAUCUUAGUACAAGUACAUAUAUCUGUUCUUACUGUAAAUGUAUUGUUAUUCUUGAUAGUUGUUAUACUCUAAGCUUCGUAUAGAUCUUGACAUUUUGUUGUGCUUAACAUGUCAAGAUACAAAGUACUAUAAGUUAGCUUUUGUAAUAAUAAAAUUUAAUCUUAAUUCAUGAAAGCUGGGUUAUAAACUUAGUGCAGGUUUAUACUAUAAUCAAGUUGCUGUCACUAUUGUCUAUGUACAUUACUCCCCAAAUAGUAGAAACAAAUUUUCUGUGUGUUCUUUAUACUAAAAUUCCCAAGCAAUACAACCAUCCUUUGUUUUUGCAACUGUGGUAUCUGUUGUAUUGAAUAUGAAUUCUAAUGAUAUGAAGGCGGAUCUGCUUGCUCGCUAUGGGGGGGUUGCACCUAAAAUGGCUGAACAAGCACAUGCACAAGUAAUUGAUCAGGUACAGAAUCUAGACAUGAGUAUGCUGCCUAUGAUUUUUAAUCCUUCUCUGUGUUUUUUGUGUAGUUUAUGAUAUUUGCCAUUUCUGGCUUUCAAACUCUGCUUUUGUGUUUCAUGUAAUAGAAGAACUAAGUUGUUGCUUGAUUUUAUUCGCAGCAAAAAAAAAAAGAAAAAAAAUUAAAAGACAUGUCUUUAACUGGAGUUGCCUUUUUUACUGCUGUCAGCGUUGGCAAUUAUGUUUAUCUUCAGUUUGCUUUUGUUGCAGAACUAUAUCAUCAUUAUUGAUUUGUUUCCUUUUUAGUUCCAUGAUCUACUAGAACAGCUUUCUUGAGAUUGUGGUUGCUUGCUGUAUCUUUCUUACCUUACGCUAUUUUCAUGAUAAUAGUUAAGUGGCUUUGAAUUAGUUUCUGAAUUUCUUAUUUAGGAUUUCCUGCUUCAGUUUUGAAUUUUAAAGAAGAUAUAUCCAUGGCUUAAAGUGUAUUAUCAAAUAAGAGUUGUAACUCUUUCAUUUACUCUUCUUGUUUGUUCUUCCAAGUAUAAUAAUUUAUUUUGCAGGUAGUACAGGAAGCCUUAGAUAAAGCUCAACUGACUGAGAAGGAUCUUACUGCAGUUGCAGUCACUAUUGGUCCUGGUUUAAGCCUUUGUUUGCGUGGUAAUUUUUUUUUUUUUUUUAAAUUUAAAACUCCAGAACUCAACUUGAUUGAAUUUUCUGGAGAUGAUGUGGUUCUAAUUGAUAAACCAUUUGGUUUCCCUAAGCAUUAACCUUAGACCAUAUGAAAUUGUGAAACCCUGUCAGGGAUCAUUGUAUGUUUAAGAUGUCAAAUGACAAUUCUAUCAUGUUAUUUAGAUGUUUGUUUGCCAAAGAGCAACAUGAUAAAAUUCCUUAAACAUCCUUUCUUCAAUUCACAUGUAGUUGGUGUGCAAAAGGCUCGGAAAAUUGCUGGCAGAUUGAAUCUACCCAUAGUGGGGGUGCACCACAUGGAAGCACAUGCCUUAGUAGCUAGGUAAUACAUGUUCAAUUCAUACUCAAAAUCACAUUUUUUAAGAUAUUACUGUAAAUUGUUUUAAAAGCAUAUUAGGAGUGUUACUUUUUUGAAUUCAAUGCCAUGGUUGCCCUUUAGCCAUGUUGCCUUUUUUUCCCCUGAAAUUUUAUCAGAUAGUUGAGUAAAAUACAAUAGCUUUAUGUGUUGUUUGUAAGCCAAUAUAUAAAUUUUGCAUCUUCUUGCUAUUUCCUUUGCUAAAUGGCUUCAGUUUGAUUUUUGGUUGCAUGUUCCUGGAAAAUUUGUGGGUUCUUUUUUUGUUUUGUGGGUUGGGGGGGGGAUCAUUCAUGAUUUCAGCCACUAAUUGAGAAUUCAGUAAUGUAAUGGCUAUGAUUGAUGUGGUAGAAAAGACGAACUAAAUAAACUGAGGAGAAAAUUGUAUUUGGUGGCAAGAUGUGAGCUCUGCAAGAAAAGCUUACAAGAUAGACCUUUGUUUUGACCUUUUCGUUUCCUUCUUUUGUCCAUUUAAGAGACUUCUAUUACUCAAUGUGCUUAAUGAGAUAUGACUUUCAUUUUUCUUGUCUUAUGGUGAGGGAUCAACUUAACUGGUUUGUGAAGAAAUGAGGCAUUGAAAAUCACUUGGAAAUCUACCUGCUACUUAAAAGUACAUUGAUUUAGGUUUUUCUCCAAUUAGUUUGUCUUCCGGUGCCUCAUCUGUAAAGGUGAACAUAAAGAGAUCUGGCCUUAAAGCGUGGAUGGAAUUUGCACUCCAAUUCUAAUAAUAAAUCUGUAGCUAUUACUAUCAAAAAAAUCUUGUAUGCAACUAUGCUCAGUUCGUCGAAAGUUGAAAGAGAAUGAGCUUCAACUUAUCAUGAAAAGUCAUUUGCCUUAUUCAAUUUUUUUCCCCUCUCUAGGUUAGUAGAAAAGAAACUGCAAUUCCCUUUUCUCGCCCUGCUCAUCUCAGGUAUGAUAAAUCACAGCACUCAUUUAAAUUUGUCACAUUUAUUUUCCCAUUUUCAAAUGUGCAUCAAUGCUACAGUACGCACACACUUGAAGAAGAAUUGAGACAGACUAGAGUUCUGCUAAAAAAAAUAGAAAAAGUAAUUAGCUGUGCUGUAGGACCAAUUACCUGGAUUGAAAAUAAGAAAUCUUGAAUUACCAUGCUCCAGAGGGCUCUACAUUAUUCUAACACAUUUCCUGGUACUGUUUUUUGUAAAGUGGCACAUGGGUCUUAGGUGAAAUGAUUUUGGUCAUUUACUGGAUUGAGUCUUGACGACCCUUUUAACUUAGUUACUAUUUAACUUACUAAGUCAAUUUGCUUAGAGGGAAGAAGGGGGGGGGGUUUGGGGGGAAGAACUUAUUAAGUCAAUGCACUUUUAACAUUUUGAUCAUUAGGAGGACACAACCUUUUAGUUCUUGCCCGGGAUCUUGGCCAUUACAUACAACUUGGUACCACAGUUGAUGAUGCAAUUGGGGAGGCAUAUGACAAGACUGCAAAAUGGCUUGGUCUUGAUAUGAGGAGGAGUGGGGGCCUGCAAUUGAGGAGUUAGCUCAUGAGGGAGAUGCAGAAGCAGUCAAAUUCAGAGUAAGUUUGGAGAAAUUUUAUGUCAAGUGUCAUUUGUUUUCUUUUGAAACAGUUUGACCAGAAUUUGAUCUUCAUAUUGAGCUCAGGUUUUGAAGUGGUUGUUUGUUAGGUUCCUAUGAAACAACACAAAGACUGCAACUUCUCAUAUGCAGGGCUAAAGAAUCAAGUGAGGUUGGAAAUCGAAGCACAGAAUAUGUAGGUGCUUUUAGCCUAUGAAAAACAUUGUUUUUCCCAUGAAGAAAUAUUUCUUUAUUGCUGUUGAUAAGAAGGUCACGUCUUGUCCCAGAUUCUUCCUUUUGAAUCUUCUAUUUGGAUAUAAAAUGCUGAAAUAUUAGCUGUGGACUAUAGCAUAUCUGGGAAAAUAUGCAAAAGAUCUAAAAGAAUCUUCUUUUCUAGCUGUGUCAAUCAUGUUGAAUAUGCUUGGAAAAAGUAUUAAUCGUGUAGUUGGAACAAAUUUCUGUCCCUGCAGCUAUUGUUGGUUAACCCAGCAAUCAAUCAUUUCAACAUUUAGAUGUUCAAAGUUCCUCUUCUCUCUCACCUCUGACCUUAUUUUGUUCCUUGGACGUUUGUGCAUGCAGCAAUGCUGAAAUCCCCAUUUCUUCAGCUAGUAGUGAAGAUAGAGGUGCAGGGCAAAUAUUGCUGCCUCUUUCCAGGUGAUAAUGGUCUUGGCUUUUAUUUCAUGAAAAGAAAAUAAAAUCAAGUUUUAACAUAUAGUUCCACAUGUCUGCUUUCUUUAAAUAUAAUAUAACAAUAGUGUUCAAUGAGCAUCUUCUUCUUUAUUGCUUUACUCUUUUUUAAACAUUGGAAGUAUCUUUGUGCAGCGAGUUGCAGUAUUACAUUUAGAGGAAAAAUGCCAACGAGCAAUUGAAUGGGCAUUGAAAAUUGAGCCUUCUGUGAAGUAUUUGGUGCGUGAAAUAAGAUUCCCAAUUGGCUUCCACGCUGUUGUACUCUCGAAUUCUAGACUUCAUGCGCUUUGUUGCUUUAUAUUGCUUUGAAUAUUGUCUCAGAGCAAUUUCUUUAUACUCCCAUCGUAGGUAGCUUCCGGAGGUGUUGCUUCAAACAAGUUUGUCCGCUCUCGCCUUAAUCAGGUAGUGGAAAGGAAUGCCCUGCAACUUUUGUGCCCUCCUCCUAGCCUCUGUACUGAUAAUGGUAAGGUGCUAAGUGUUUUUCCUGCUAAUUCAGUUAACAUUGAGAAAAUGCAAAAGUGAUUAAUUUGCAGAGGUACUUGAUUUUAAUAACUGGCAGUUGAAAAAUACAAACUUCGGACAAAUAACUUGUAGAUAGAUUGUGUGUGGUUUCUGUGGUUCAAGCUCGUGUACUACAACAUUAGGAUGGAUCCAAGUGCUCAUUACAGACAAUACUUUUGCAAUUUAAAAUAAAGUGAAUAGGCUAGUCUCAAUUGAAUAGCUGCAUCGACAUUCAAUUUCUGGUGGUAAUCUGUUAGAUAUCUACCCAUCAUUGAGAACAUAUUUAAUUUGUUUUAGGCCUGGUAGGGGUUCAUUUGCAUAUGUGGAAAAGUUGCCCAAAUCUUGGUGAUGUUAAAUUAUUGGGUUAAAAACAAAAAAGCCCCUGUGAUAUACCUAAUACAUAGAAAAACCCCCAUAGUUUCAAAACAUAUAAAACGACACCUCAUGUUUUGAACUAAAUUGCAAACUAACGGAAUUCGUUAAACUUAAUGGAAUCCGGAAAAUUUAACGGAAAAUUUAACGGAAUUCGGUAAAGUUAACGGUAAACUUAACAGAAUCCGGUAAGUUUAACAGACAAAAUCGUCAUCCGGUAAAGUUAACGGUAAACUUAACAGAAUCCGGUAAGUUGAACAGGCGAAAUCGUCAUUUUCGUUAAGUUUAACAAAUUCUGUUAGUUUACAAUUUAGUUCAAAACAUGAGGUGUCGUUUUGUAUGUUUUGAAACCAUGGGGGCCUUUUCUGUAUAAUAGAUAUACCACAGGGGGUUUUUUUGUUUUAACCCUAAAUUAUUUGAACUCUGAAAAGCUAGUACGUUGGGCCUUGUCUUGAAGAAUAAUGUUGGCUUGUUCUGAAAGGUGUAAUGAUUGCUUGGACCGGCGUGGAACAUUUCCGGGUAGGAAGAUAUGAUCCUCCACCACCUGCCAAUGAACCUGAAGAUGCCCAGGUUUUGUCAUUUUGGUGCUUUCAUUUGGAUUUUAAAGAUUUUUUUGGCUAGAAUUUGUUUGCUUUGGAUGCUAUAUCUCUAAUAGAAGAGUAAGCUCUAUAUUUUUCGUCUUUACUGCCUCUUUUCUCAUAUGAAAGAAGAAGUUGAUUACUUCAUGACUUCUCACUUCAUAUGGGUUUCCAAAACCUAUUAGUUGAUGGAGAAAAAGUUAAGUGGUCGCAUGGAUCAGACUUGCUGCCGUAAUGCUAAUUAGCUUAGUCAAUUUCCAUUUUCUGCUCUCUUGAACUUUGAAUAAGCAAAGAAUUGAGCAAAUGUGUUAUUUCAGGUUUGGUUAACGUGGUUUGUAAAGCGAUCCUCAAAAUUCCUCUAUUUAGUUAAUCUGGACAAAUGAAUUGCAUGUUUAAACGUGAACUGAUUACAAAUUAAGGAAUCAGGCUACCUUAAGUGGAGAUUGGAGGAACUCCAUUUUUGAAAGAAUUAUGUUGGAAAUGUAGCAUCUACAGGUGGUUGGGUUCAUUGCUUUUGUUUUCUUGUGGUCUUAAGGAUUUUCAUUUUGAAAAGUAGCAAGAAUCUAUGCUUCUAUUUUUUUUUGGAUAGUAAUAUGUUGACAUAUGUCAUGCAUGAAACAGCUUGAUUUGCGGCCAAGGUGGCCAUUAGGUGAGGAGUAUGCUGAAGGAAGAAGUGAUGCCCGAUCAAUGAGAAAGGCUCGGAUUCAUCAAUCGCUGACAUCUCUCAUUCAGGCAUCUCUGUUAGAACAGCCAAAGCCCACUGUGUGAAGGUUACUGGUGCUUUCUCAAAUGAAUGAUAUCCUGUCUGAAGCCCUAAUGUUUGAAGGAUAUAGCUUGCAACUCUACACUAAUUCUUACUGUCGCCAGCUGAAUGUUUGCAUCAAGUAGAGUUUUCAAAUUUUAUCAAGAAACUGGCUCUGCGGGGACAGUUCUUAGUAUUCCCUUGUCAAUAUAAAUGUGUGGAUUCACAGAUAUCCUAGAAGAUUUUCUGCUCAAGGAACAUUUUUCUAGAGCACGGCAUAAGUUAUUCAAUGCUCAUUGUGUACAAGUGUUUAAGCAUUUGCCUUGGUAGACUAGAUAGAAUGAACAUAAGCCAAUUUUCUGUUGAGUUAGCUAUUACACUCUUCCUUCUAUCUUUGGAUUGUAGGGGACCUGAAAGGUCUUUCUAAUUAUAGAGCAAUGCUAUGCGGCCACAAAUGUUAGAGAUUCGACAAAAUCUCUUCAACAAUUCGUGCAGUGGAUGAUAUGCUGCAUCAUAUCUGCAAAUUUUCAUUUGCAAAUGUGUAGUUAUACCAAAAAAAAUAUUUGGCUCAAAAAUGCUAGAAAAGGUAAUUGUAAGAUAGAAAUUUAAAUAAUAUGUAUGUGUGUAUACCUUUUAUCUAGUAUCUUUUAAGACCCAAAUAGCUCAUUAGAGAAAAUAUCCUUUUAAGUACGAAUAAAGGAGAUGUCAAGUUUAGCAUGAGUAUUGUAAAAUUAUGGAUUCGGAGCCGGUAAAUGUUUUUGCGCGAUUGUGCAGUUUUGUUUACAUCAUAUGAUAAACAUUAAUACUUGGGUAAAAAGUCCAUUUGGCUCUCAAAUCUUCAACUAUUUUAUAAUUUUAGUCCUCUAACUAUUAUUUGUAUAUUUUUAGCCUAUAAACUAUUAAAAGCAUGUAUUUAUAGUCCUUCCGUAAAUUUGAACCCGAUAAUUCUAACAAAACUAUCUCAAAAAUGAUGUUUUUUUUUUAUAUUCUCCUUUCUCAAAUCAAAUUACAUGUCGAUUAUGAUGGGGAUACAACAUCAUAAUGGAUAGCCCCAUAGAUUGGGUGAAUUCAUCAGUACACAUUAAAAAAUGCUCAAACUUAAAUGCAUGGAACUGAUAUUAAAGUCGGAAGUCCAUCCAGCCAACUGUGAUUAAAACUAGUUCAACUCUCUAAAACACUGAGCCGAUGAGAGAGGAAUAACUUAAAUGUCCAACUGUGGCAACAUCCUUUCAAAUCACAACUAGAAAAAAUGAAAAAAAAUGGAUGAAACUCUUCUAUGGUACAGUGGCACAACCACACUAAAAAUUUCCAAACUCAUACUAAUUAAAUGCCAAGGAAACACUUGCCCUUCCAAGGCAGUCGAGCUGGUCUCACUAAGGGUUAGUACACCCGAGAUCCAGUGUUCGAGCCUUGUCACAAAAAUGGGGAAUAAUCUAACAACCCGAAUAAGGGUUGGGGCUUGAAGUGGGACCAGGUCCUUUUUUUGACAAAAAAAAAAUGCCAAGGUAACACUCAAAUGUCUACUAGGGGACAUAAACACAAAUAAGAUGCGAGCUGAUAAGGUAAAACGAAUACCGUGAGCGUCUAUACUGGGGAUAGGAACCCCCGGUGUCUCACAAACGCAAGACGAUCAAUAUCUGUCUUGCAGGUGAACCAAAUGGCCCGCUCUGAAGGGUCCUUUAAUGCAUCAGCAACCCUCAGGCGCGCAUUAAUGUCCAGGUUUAGAGCGCAGAGCUUGGCCAAGGCAGCUUUUAACUCGGCAUAAGCAUCGAAAGGAGGAUGUGCAGUCUUCGAUGGUGAAGAGACUGAACCACUCAUGCUACUGCUAUUUUUGCAACUCAAAUGGGUCUCAAGACUGUCUAGAACACGGAAGUACUGCUGGAAUUGGGGGGAUGAACCAGAGAAGAAUGAAUCGGUCGACAUAUCGCCCGAUUUGCGCUUUCUUUUGCCUUUCUUCACCUUUCCUUUCCCUUUCCGAGUCGUCGGCACUUCAACUUCUUCAUCUGAUGAACUGACGUCUACAGCAGUCUUUCCUCUACCACGUCUAGCAGCAUUUUCCAUUUCCAACUCGUCUUCCGAGUUGGGGGGUGAUAGUCCAUGUUCAGCGCUAAGGUCCCCAGUAGCUCCCUGAUUCAUGAACACUUCUUCAAGCAAAUAGAAGACAAGACAUGAUCUGUCAUAAAAUCUUCCAUAGCCCUUGUUCACCUACAAAAAAGAAACGUAUUUUAAUUAAUGAAGCAUGGCACUCCAAAAAAGGUUGCGAGGCUUCAUUUCAAAUAUUUCCAAAUACCACCUAGCGAUUUACCAUUUUAAAAGGAUAACCGCAUAUGAGAAGGGGGUCUUUAAAAUGAACAGAUUUUGAAAAGCAAAAAAAUAGUAGAGAAGGUUACCCUACCUGAAGUAGAUGCCUCCACCGGUCAUCGUCCAUCAUAAAAGUAUAGUUGGUAGAGUCCCAACCCAUACCAGUGCCUCGUCUCUUAAAUGAAAUAUACAGCCUGGUCAAGUUCUGAAGGGCAUAGUAUUUCGACUGAAUAGUGUUGCGGGGGAAUGAAGUGCCAAAAGUUUCAUUAAGCAUCCUAGUAAUCUCGGGAUGACACGACUCCCGAUGUUAUGAGACGAUAUUUCUCCAUUCCUAUGCAUAUUGACAAGAUGUUGGGCAAAUGCAAUUUCAUGUUCUGGGGUGAAAGUGUUAUGUUCCGAGUACUUCACUCGCGUCGACUCAUCUUUUUUUCCUUUAGGGCGGCAAAACCAGAAAUACAGACAGUGGAAAAAAAAAAAAACUUCGGGUGAACCUGAAUUGAUCUAUAUGAUGAUAUAAGGCAAUCGAACCACCCAAUUAAGUAUAGGAUCUGCCAAAGUAACUCACCCUGAAGUAGUUAGUGAGGCAUAGUUGCAAAUCGUUUUCUCCUUGCGCCGACUUCGAAGAACAAGUGCUUAAUCCCUACUUCUUUGAAAAGCUGUGAACAAGUUGUCAAAACUAUGAUCAAUUACUUAUGCUCAACAUUGGAAAAAUUAGACAAGAAGCAAUUACUCCAUACCCUUCCAAGCACGCCGAGUCACAGGGGGCAUGUAGUUGCACAAGGCUUGUACAAAUGAUCACCUAAAUCUGGAGCUGCCCUAAAAAGUUGGGACACUUUUAGUGCAAGCAGAUGCAAACUGUCCCUAUAGACAAAAUGGCCAAGCGAGGCAUACAAUGUAUGAAGACUCUACCUCCAACAACUGCUUAUGUUUGGAAUGUCAAAUAAAAGAAAAAUAGAUCAUCAAAGCUAGCUGCCCAAGCUUGUAUGACACUCAACAGUUUGAAAGGCUGCGUUGUAGGCAAAAAACUGAAGGGGAUUUUAUCCAUUACAAAACGCGAAAGGCGAGAGAGAACCAAAAAACUGCUGAAGCUUGAGGCAGAAAAAAGAUUUAUUGACCCUUGAUAAAGAACACUUAUACAGCAACAGCAUGAAGUCUAAUCAUCUAAGCAUCCAAACAUAUAACGCAUUCAGAUGUACUGAUGAACCAUUGUUAAAAGCAGUUAGAGCGCCAUUAACGACUACUUUAACUCAGCAAAAUCAAUCAAGACUUCCUUGUUUUUAAAAAAUGCGCAACAACAACUCAGUUUAAUGGUUCCUUGUUAAACCAUAUGCCUAUAACCGGCAGCAGGCAGAACAUGAGGUGAAGAUUCAAAAAUAGAGGGCAAAACCUGAAACAGUUGUGAGCCAAUAACAUAACCCAAUAAACAGAGGACCAGACACAACACUUGCAGAGCUAACAUACAGGGGAACAGCAUGCCUGAAGUGCAAUUACAGCAGACCAAAAGUUGCAGGCUUAACAACUGCUGUUUUUUCCAGGUUACGUGUCAGUUCAUGUAACUCAAGGUUAGUUAGCGUAGCCAUUUCUUUUCCAUUCGCGCACAAACUGUCCAUUACCAGGUUCUUCUUUUAAAACACAACACUUCAUAGCCGAGAUUCAUUAACACUUUAAGCAUGAACCACGAAACACUUCAUUUAUAAUUUCAAAUAAGAAGAGCUGGAGAAAACAAAUUAGAUGAAGUGGAAACAAACCUACAGGCCUAAAAAUUCAGGAUAGCAACAGAAAGAACCGUUUACAUAGUUACAAGACUACUUGAAUCACCAAGGUCAAAUAGAAGCAAUGCCAUCAAACACACUAUUAGAUAGAACACAGCUUCAACUUUGCAAUAAAAAAGCACAUAAAUCUCUUUCACUUUUAGCUAAUGCAGGCCUAAUGUGCAAGUUUUAAAAUGUUAUUAACAUACCUAAGGAUUUUCAAUAGAAAAAUCACAAUCUGGGAGAAUUAAUGACGAGGGGAUUAAUAACAACAGUCACCACCUGUCUGGACAACUUCAGCGUCCAAAAUUCUUCCAAAUUCCUGCAACACUCAGAAUUGCUGGCUAGCAGACACAUGAGAAAGCAAAACUAUGUAGAGAAAUUUCAUUUGGCUUCUGCAACAGAAGAAAAAGUACUCUUCCACAUGCCUGACUACUAAAAAGAAACGAGCAACAUACAAUAUUAACUAACUUCCAAACC